Molecule: long non-coding RNA, 395 nt
Organism: Neltuma alba
Lineage: Eukaryota; Viridiplantae; Streptophyta; Magnoliopsida; Fabales; Fabaceae
Exons: 3
Source: RefSeq, a predicted model, not a curated record
AACUUUUCCGCCUCUUUUCUUUCUUUCUUUGUUUUUAUUUGGUCAUUGUUCCAAUGAAAGGCAUUUGGAGAACAACCAGUUUAAUGGGCCAAUUCCUUCGUCACUUGGGAAGCUACCAAACCUGCGCGAAAUAUAUCUCCAGAAUAACAAACUAGAUGGCAAAGUUCCUCCGGAGUUGCAAAACCAGAGUAGCGUGAAAGUAUAACCAAGUACAGCACCUCUUCAUAAUCUGAUAGUUGUUUUCUUCUUCUGCCUUUCAACUACGCGACACCUACUGGGAGGCUCCUGGAAAUCACAUGUCAGAAUCAGCUUUAUGUCGCUGCAAAGAUGAUGAUAGAGGAGUAAUCACAAAUUUCUUUGGCAAUUUAGUAUGUGAUCAGGGAGCCUUUUAGGCC